This 948-nucleotide ribosomal RNA is filed under the name Farysia itapuensis. RNAcentral describes it as "LSU rRNA". It matches the Rfam family "Eukaryotic large subunit ribosomal RNA", at positions 34 to 964 of the family's 3401-position model. The record is from RNAcentral. Lineage: Eukaryota; Fungi; Basidiomycota; Ustilaginomycetes; Ustilaginales; Ustilaginaceae.
CUAAGCAUAUCAAUAAGCGGAGGAAAAGAAACUAACAAGGAUUCCCCUAGUAACGGCGAGUGAAGAGGGAAAAGCCCAAGAUUGAAAGCUGGCGUCUUCGGCGUCCGCAUUGUAAUCUCAAGAAGCAUUUUCCGCUUCGGACCAAGCCUAAGUCCCUUGGAAAAGGGCAUCGUAGAGGGUGAGAAUCCCGUACAUGGCUUGGAGCGCCCGAGGCUUUGUGAUAUGCAUUCUAAGAGUCGAGUUGUUUGGGAAUGCAGCUCAAAAUGGGUGGUAAAUGCCAUCUAAGGCUAAAUAUUGGGGAGAGACCGAUAGCGAACAAGUACCGUGAGGGAAAGAUGAAAAGAACUUUGAAAAGAGAGUUAAACAGUACGUGAAAUUGCCAAAAGGGAAGGGUAGGAGGUCAGAGAUGCGGCGUGGGAUUCAGCCUUGCUUUUGCUUGGUGUUUUUCCCUCAUUGCAGGCCAACGUCGGUUUUGGGCACUGGAGAAGGGUGAGAGGAAUGUGGCACUCUUCGGGGUGUGUUAUAGCCUCUCACUGGAUACAGCGACCGGGACCGAGGAACGCAGCGUACUCGAAAGAGCGGGCCUUCGGGCACCUUUACGCUUAGGGCGUUGGCAUAAUGGCCCUCUACCACCCGUCUUGAAACACGGACCAAGGAGUCUAACAUGUAUGCGAGUCUUUGGGUGGCAAACCCGUAGGCGCAAUGAAAGUGAAUUCAGAUGGGAUCCGCAAGGUGCACCAUCGACCGAUCCUCACGUCUUUUAAGUCGUGGAUUUGAGUAAGAGCAUGCCUGUUGGGACCCGAAAGAUGGUGAACUAUGCCUGAAUAGGGCGAAGCCAGAGGAAACUCUGGUGGAGGCUCGUAGCGGUUCUGACGUGCAAAUCGAUCGUCAAAUUUGGGUAUAGGGGCGAAAGACUAAUCGAACCAUCUAGUAGCUGGUUCCUGCCGA